RNAcentral lists this non-coding RNA (756 nucleotides) under Rugilus geniculatus. Lineage: Eukaryota; Metazoa; Arthropoda; Insecta; Coleoptera; Staphylinidae. The record is from RNAcentral.
AAAAAGUUUUAAUUUGGUUUAUUAAAUUAAUUUAUAGAAUUAUUAUAUGUAAAUUUUUGUAUAAAAUUUUAAAUAAUAUUUAAGCAGUGAUUAAAUUUAAAAAUAUAAGAAAUUAUGAUUUAGGUAUUUAUAUCAGUAUUAACAAAAUUUGUGCCAGCAGUUGCGGUUAUACAAAUAAUGCAAUUAAUUUAUAUUAGUUAAUAAUAAGUUAUUUAUAAAAAUAAUAUAAUAUUAAUUUUUUUAGGUGAAAUUUAAAAUUUUUAAAAAAUUAUUUAAAAAUUUAUGAUUUAUGAAAUUUUUAAUUAAACUAGGAUUAGAUACCCUAUUAUUUAAAAUUUAAAUAAAUUACUAAGUAAGUUAUAGUUAUGGUCUUAAAAGUUAAAAAUUUUGGCGGUAUUUUAGUCUAUUUAGAGGAACCUGUUUAGUAAUUGAUAAUCCACAAUUUAUUUUACUUAUUUUAAAUAGUUUGUAUAUCGUCGUUAAUGAAUAUUUUAUAAGAAUAUAAAUGUUCAGAAAUUAAAAUUUUAAAAAAAGUCAGAUCAAGGUGCAGCUUAUAAAUAAGAAUAAAUGGGUUACAAUAAAGAUAUUUAUGGAUAAUUAAUUAAAAAUUAAUUUGAAAAUGGAUUUAAUAGUAAUAAAAUUUAAUUUAAUUUUAUGAUUUUAGCUCUAAAAUAUGUACAUAUUGCCCGUCACUCUCAUAUAAAAUGAGAUAAGUCGUAACAAAGUAGAUGUACUGGAAAGUGUAUCUAGAAAGGC